Molecule: ribosomal RNA, 497 nt
Filed under: uncultured bacterium
Lineage: Bacteria
Description: partial 16S ribosomal RNA
Rfam family: Bacterial small subunit ribosomal RNA
Source: RNAcentral
GACGAACGCUGGCGGCGUGCCUAAUACAUGCAAGUAGAACGCUGAAGAGAGGGGCUUACUCUUCUUGGAUGAGUUGCGAACGGGUGAGUAACGCGUAGGUAACCUGCCUUGUAGCGGGGGAUAACUAUUGGAAACGAUAGCUAAUACCGCAUAACAAUGGAUGACACAUGUCAUUUAUUUGAAAGGGGCAAUUGCUCCACUACAAGAUGGACCUGCGUUGUAUUAGCUAGUAGGUGAGGUAAUGGCUCACCUAGGCGACGAUACAUAGCCGACCUGAGAGGGUGAUCGGCCACACUGGGACUGAGACACGGCCCAGACUCCUACGGGAGGCAGCAGUAGGGAAUCUUCGGCAAUGGGGGCAACCCUGACCGAGCAACGCCGCGUGAGUGAAGAAGGUUUUCGGAUCGUAAAGCUCUGUUGUAAGUCAAGAACGGGUGUGAGAGUGGAAAGUUCACACUGUGACGGUAGCUUACCAGAAAGGGACGGCUAACUACGUG